This is a long non-coding RNA of Belonocnema kinseyi, 690 nucleotides long. RefSeq lists it as uncharacterized. The record is from RefSeq and is a predicted model, not a curated record. The transcript is spliced from 3 exons. NCBI's taxonomy places the organism in Eukaryota, Metazoa, Arthropoda, Insecta, Hymenoptera, Cynipidae.
AAAAUUUGCAAUAGUUUAUACUUUUCAAAUAGACUGAGAAAAAUCAAUUGGGAUAUUUAAAAUGAUGUUUUCUACUAAAAUUGAAUUAUCUCAUUCGCGUAACGGAUUAGACAAUGGCAUCGAAAAAUAAAAGUAGGAUAGAAGCAAAUAGAAACCGAUAGAAAUUGUAUUACAAAAAGAGUCAAAGUGGAGCAAACUGUUAAUGAACGAAGCGUUAUUAUUGGCGAGGCAUUGGACGACGGGGGUGAAUCAAUCAAUAUUUUGGCCUGCUUCAGAUGGGCGAGUGUUGGACAUAAUGAAAGGUCACAGCGCGUCACGAUGCCACACCCAAGUCUUUUUCGUAUGAUCAAAUCUAUGUGCUAGCCACUGCUGUUCCAGUAAUUGGUAUCGAUCUUGACUUAGAUACAAAGAAAUCAUCAGUAGAAGAAUUUGUGAAUCGUUUGAUUGCACCGAGCAACAAUGGCCGACAUCAAGGGAAAUAUCGCACACAAGAAUCUGUUUUCUUUUCAACUUUGUUACAAAAUUCUGGGACGACAGGAAUUUGCCAAAAACAAAUUUAAAUUAUCAAAAUUGUCGCCAGUGGCUAAACCCCCAAAAAUUGCUCAGAAUAGUGAUAAAUAGGCAAGGUUGUUAAAGCUGGUUCAAACUCGCUUAAUAAGCUCACCGACAGAUAUAUUUUACUUUUGAAAA